Molecule: ribosomal RNA, 492 nt
Filed under: uncultured bacterium
Lineage: Bacteria
Description: partial 16S ribosomal RNA
Rfam family: Bacterial small subunit ribosomal RNA
Source: RNAcentral
AGUGAACGCUGGUGGUAGGCCUAACACAUGCAAGUCGAACGGCAGCACAGUAAGAGCUUGCUCUUACGGGUGGCGAGUGGCGGACGGGUGAGGAAUACAUCGGAAUCUACUUUUUCGUGGGGGAUAACGUAGGGAAACUUACGCUAAUACCGCAUACGACCUACGGGUGAAAGCAGGGGAUCUUCGGACCUUGCGCGAUUGAAUGAGCCGAUGUCGGAUUAGCUAGUUGGCGGGGUAAAGGCCCACCAAGGCGACGAUCCGUAGCUGGUCUGAGAGGAUGAUCAGCCACACUGGAACUGAGACACGGUCCAGACUCCUACGGGAGGCAGCAGUGGGGAAUAUUGGACAAUGGGCGCAAGCCUGAUCCAGCCAUGCCGCGUGGGUGAAGAAGGCCUUCGGGUUGUAAAGCCCUUUUGUUGGGAAAGAAAAGCAGCAGGUUAAUACCCCGCUGUUCUGACGGUACCCAAAGAAUAAGCACCGGCUAACUUCGUG